UAUCAUUUUUCAAACUUUAUUUUUGUGUAAUAAUUAGGCAUAUUGAUACAUAAUCAUGUUCAUGUUUUGUGCUGUCUUGCUUUGCAGAUGACAGAAUAUUGCUGAAGGAUCCUGCAUGGAAGCUGGCUGAUUACACGGAGUGAUUCCUCUGGUGUGGUGUACCUCAGAGAGAUAAACACUGUUGCAAGAGCUGAGAAGAUAUCCUUAUUACUGGAUGGUUGCUCUCUGGUCGUACUUGAGCCCCCUGGACCAUGUCUGCAAAUGCUUCUGAACAUUGACAGAAUUUCUAAAGGAUCGCUGAGGACUCCCCCUCCAUGCGUGACAUCUUUGAGAAAUUUCCACGCUUUCUGGAGAUGCCAAGUUUGGUACGUCUGCCAGACAUUUUUUUAACCUUUAUUUAGAAAGAACAAGUCACGAUAUAGUUGUGUGCAUUGUUGAUUUUGGCUAUACUUGGUGUUAAUUAAGCUUCCUGAUACUGCAUGAUUUAUACCGUUCACUCAGUAGAGUAAAGCUUUCUAUAUAACCUGUUAAAACAGGGCGUUAUACAUUUUGUGGUUACCAGAAUGGCAAGUGCAUUACUAAAGGCCCUAUGUUAUGUCAUAGUAGAGUAGUACUGGCAAUUAACCUUUCAAUGACUAUUACAGCAUGUUUCAGAUGGUAUGGCGUAGAGCUGGGCGGUUUACGGUUAAAAAACCGUGAUCUCGGUUUCACCUACACAAGGUUCUCUUUUUGAUGAGAGACGGUUUUGUUGUUGUUGUUCAUACUAGGCUAUGUGCGUGAACUUCAUACUUCAUGUCACACUUCAUUUCAACUCCAAGUCCACUGUUGUUUUUCUACUAGGAAAUGUCAACACAAUUUAAGAUGUUGAUUGAAGCAAUACAAAUAAUUGGUUAAUCGCGCUAAAGAAGCUGGUGAGAGUGAAGCAUAGCCUAAUGAAGAACCCACAUGGCAUGGAUGAAUCAUGAUGAACAUUUAAAUCAACUUAGCUUACAUUUGAUCUCACAAAGUUAAAUAAAAGGCUAUUCUAAUAGGCUACAACAGUUCUCAGAUCCUUAACUGUAUUUCAUUACCAUCCCAACUGCGUGUGCAGGACUGCUGUUAAGGCUGCGUAUGAGUUUUGCCAUUGAGGCUAAUUUAGCUUAGCUUGCAAAAUGCAAUGGGCA
Engraulis encrasicolus (European anchovy) is the source of this 1163-nucleotide long non-coding RNA. RefSeq lists it as uncharacterized. The record is from RefSeq and is a predicted model, not a curated record. NCBI's taxonomy places the organism in Eukaryota, Metazoa, Chordata, Actinopteri, Clupeiformes, Engraulidae. The transcript is spliced from 3 exons.